This 470-nucleotide ribosomal RNA is filed under the name Salacia agasthiamalana. RNAcentral's name for it is "eukaryotic LSU rRNA". The stretch from base 330 to 470 matches the Rfam family "Eukaryotic large subunit ribosomal RNA", at positions 1 to 141 of the family's 3401-position model. Lineage: Eukaryota; Viridiplantae; Streptophyta; Magnoliopsida; Celastrales; Celastraceae. The record is from RNAcentral.
UGCAGAAUCCCGUGAACCAUCGAGUUUUUGAACGCAAGUUGCGCCCGAAGCCGUCUCGGCGGUGGAGGGCACGUCUGCCUGGGUGUCAAGAAACGUCGCCAAACGUCCCUCUCCGCACCCUCCCGCCCGAGGGGGGAAGCAUCGAGGGGGCGGGCGGAUAUUGGCCUCCCGUGCGCGGUUGCUCGCGGUUGGCCCAAAAGAGAGUACCCCGGCGAGGCAGCCACGACGUGCGGUGGCAGAAAGCGUAUGCUCUCCUCGAACACCGUCGUGGGCCGGCCUCGUGGGGCGGGAAGGACUAAGGCCCCGAUGCGAAGUCGUGUUUCGCGAAGCGACCCCAGGUCAGGCGGGAGCACCCGCUGAGUUUAAGCAUAUCAAUAAGCGGAGGAAAAGAAACUUACGAGGAUUCCCCUAGUAACGGCGAGCGAACCGGGAACAGCCCAGCUUGAGAAUCGGAUGCCCUCGGCGUUCGA